This 240-nucleotide unclassified non-coding RNA is filed under the name soil metagenome. RNAcentral describes it as "partial contains 5.8S ribosomal RNA, internal transcribed spacer 2, and large subunit ribosomal RNA". The record is from RNAcentral.
AACAAGGCGUACCUGCGGACCUGCGGAAGGAUCAUUACAGAGUUGCAAAACUCCCACAAACCAUCGCGAAUCUUACCCGUACGGUUGCCUCGGCGCUGGCGGUCCGGAAGGCCCUCGGGCCCCCGGACCCUCGGGUCCCCCGCUCGCGGGGGGCUGCCCGCCGGAGUGCCGAAACCAAACUCUUGAUAUUUUAUGUCUCUCUGAGUAAACUUUUAAAUAAGUCAAAACUUUUAACAACGG